RNAcentral lists this ribosomal RNA (253 nucleotides) under uncultured bacterium. RNAcentral describes it as "partial 16S ribosomal RNA". It matches the Rfam family "Bacterial small subunit ribosomal RNA", at positions 524 to 776 of the family's 1533-position model. The record is from RNAcentral.
UACGUAGGGGGCUAGCGUUGUCCGGAUUUAUUGGGCGUAAAGAGCGUGUAGGCGGCCAGGUAGGUCUGCUGUGAAAACUCGAGGCUCAGCCUCGAGACGUCGGCGGAAACCAUCUGGCUAGAGUCCGGAAGAGGAGAGUGGAAUUCCUGGUGUAGCGGUGAAAUGCGCAGAUAUCUGGAGGAACACCGGUGGCGAAGGCGGCAUCCUGGACCAACACUGACGCUGAGGAGCGAAAGCCAGGGGAGCAAACGGG